AGUUUGAUCAUGGCUCAGGACGAACGCUGGCGGCGUGCCUAAUACAUGCAAGUCGAACGGGAUCUUUUUUGGUGGUAACACCGGGGAAGAUCUAGUGGCGAACGGGUGAGUAACACGUGAGGAACCUGCCCUGAAGACGGGAAUAACCAGGGGAAACCCUGGCUAAUACCCGAUAUCCCCUCCGGAUCGCAUGGUCUGGUGAGGAAAUGGAUUCCGCUUCAGGAGGGCCUCGCGGCCUAUCAGCUUGUUGGUGGGGUAACGGCCUACCAAGGCUUCGACGGGUAGCUGGUCUGAGAGGACGAUCAGCCACACUGGGACUGAGACACGGCCCAGACUCCUACGGGAGGCAGCAGUAAGGAAUAUUGCGCAAUGGGGGAAACCCUGACGCAGCAACGCCGCGUGCGGGACGAAGGCCCUCGGGUUGUAAACCGCUUUCAGUAGGGAAGAAGAUGACGGUACCUACAGAAGAAGCCCCGGCCAACUACGUGCCAGCAGCCGCGGUAACACGUAGGGGGCGAGCGUUGUCCGGAUUCAUUGGGCGUAAAGAGCUCGUAGGCGGUUUCGUAAGUCGGAUGUGAAAACUCCAGGCUCAACUUGGAGACGCCAUUCGAUACUGCGAUGACUCGAGUCCGGUAGGGGAGUGUGGAAUUCCUGGUGUAGCGGUGAAAUGCGCAGAUAUCANGAGGAACACCGGCNGCGAANNNGGCACUCUGGGCCGGUACUGACGCUNANGANCGAAAGCNUGGGUAGCAAACAGGANUAGAUACCCUGNNNNUCCACGCCGUANCGGUGGGCACUANGUGUGGG
RNAcentral lists this ribosomal RNA (807 nucleotides) under uncultured bacterium. Its description in RNAcentral is "bacterial SSU rRNA". It matches the Rfam family "Bacterial small subunit ribosomal RNA", at positions 10 to 826 of the family's 1533-position model. The record is from RNAcentral.